GCCGGCCAGCCAUCGCAAUCCGACUUUUGUUAUCGACCGGAGGCUUAAGGUAUUUACGAGUACGGCCGAAAGUCCUCCAUUCGAUUCGAUCGAGUAUUUAGCGGCAAAGAAAAAUACAGUCCCCGGUUCAAGAACAUUCGAGGGCAGAGAUAGUGACAAAGAGCGAGAAAAAGAGGGACGGAUGAAAGGCGGCGAAAUAAAGGAAAGAUAAGAAGGUUGGGAGAUAAGAACAAGAGCAAGGAAUUCGCUUUUAAAUUACUUUCAUAUGUUCAAAGUUUGCAAUGGAAUAAUAAGAGGAAAUCUCAAACAAGGAAAAAUAAAUACAAAGAAUGUAUUAUGUAUGAAAAGGAGGAAUGAUCUAUAUUUGCUGGCGUGAAAAAUACUAAUUAUUGAUACACACAUAUACAUAUAUGAAUAAACUCUGACUUUUGCGAUGUGC
Drosophila ficusphila is the source of this 439-nucleotide long non-coding RNA. RefSeq lists it as uncharacterized. The transcript is spliced from 2 exons. NCBI's taxonomy places the organism in Eukaryota, Metazoa, Arthropoda, Insecta, Diptera, Drosophilidae. The record is from RefSeq and is a predicted model, not a curated record.